Molecule: ribosomal RNA, 239 nt
Filed under: uncultured bacterium
Lineage: Bacteria
Description: partial 16S ribosomal RNA
Rfam family: Bacterial small subunit ribosomal RNA
Source: RNAcentral
UAGAGCAAAUCCCCAAAAACCGGUACUCAGUUCAGAUUGCAGGCUGCAACUCGCCUGCAUGAAGUUGGAAUUGCUAGUAAUCGCGAAUCAGAAUGUCGCGGUGAAUACGUUCCCGGGCCUUGUACACACCGCCCGUCACACCAUGAGAGUCGAUAACACCCGAAGCCUGUGAGCUAACCGCAAGGAGGCAGCAGUCGAAGGUGGGGUUGAUGAUUGGGGUGAAGUCGUAACAAGGUAGC